Molecule: long non-coding RNA, 546 nt
Organism: Gadus morhua (Atlantic cod)
Lineage: Eukaryota; Metazoa; Chordata; Actinopteri; Gadiformes; Gadidae
Exons: 3
Source: RefSeq, a predicted model, not a curated record
UAUUUAGAUUGGGGAACUACUUCUUCCUGUGUAGUUUGUAUCCAUAGGGUUCACCGUAGUUAGGUUGGGCGGAGUGAUACGCCGCACACGAGGCUAGUUUCAAGUUUGUUACCGGCGACAAGGGUGCCACUUGUCUGUUUUCUUGAGCGGAGAAUAAAACAUAUACAAGUUGCUCUGAAGAAGCUGUCCCCGUGCUGUUCUUACCCACGACCCCAAAAAUAGACUUUAUUAAGAAAAUGCUGCUGCGUGUCUCGUUUGGCGGAGUGCAGAAGUACAUGAAGCUGCCUGAACUAACAUUCGGUGAUUUCUUGAGAGAAGUGAGUCUAAAAUUUAACAUUGCUGAAGACAGACGGUUGGACAUGAAGGUUUAUGACCAGUCUAACACAGAGGUCGACUCUGAGGUUUUUGAGGAGAUCGUACAAGAGUUCCAUGGACCUUUCCUAAUUUCAUUGGCCAAUGAAGCACCUGGUAAUUGCUGCCUACCUGCAUAAGACUACACACACAUCGUUGAAGUGGAAGUGUUGAACUAUGUAAUUGUGUUCUUAU